GCCGUGUUAGCUUAGCUGGUGGAGCGGUGGACUGUUAAUCCACAGGUCGCAGGUUCGAACCCUGCACACGGCGC
This 74-nucleotide transfer RNA is filed under the name Marine Group II euryarchaeote MED-G33. Its description in RNAcentral is "tRNA-Asn(gtt)". It matches the Rfam family "tRNA". From Rfam's summary of the family: Transfer RNA (tRNA) molecules are approximately 80 nucleotides in length. Their secondary structure includes four short double-helical elements and three loops (D, anti-codon, and T loops). Further hydrogen bonds mediate the characteristic L-shaped molecular structure. tRNAs have two regions of fundamental functional importance: the anti-codon, which is responsible for specific mRNA codon recognition, and the 3' end, to which the tRNAs corresponding amino acid is attached (by aminoacyl-tRNA synthetases). tRNAs cope with the degeneracy of the genetic code in two manners: having more than one tRNA (with a specific anti-codon) for a particular amino acid; and 'wobble' base-pairing, i.e. permitting non-standard base-pairing at the 3rd anti-codon position. The record is from RNAcentral. Lineage: Archaea; Methanobacteriati; Thermoplasmatota; Candidatus Poseidoniia; Candidatus Poseidoniales.